Non-coding RNA from Schistosoma haematobium, 46 nucleotides. The record is from Rfam. Lineage: Eukaryota; Metazoa; Platyhelminthes; Trematoda; Strigeidida; Schistosomatidae.
GCACUGCUGAGGUGUCCCACAAUACAACGAAACGGCCGUCCAGUAC